AGAGUUUGAUCCUGGCUCAGAUUGAACGCUGGCGGCAUGCCUUACACAUGCAAGUCGAACGGUAACAGGGAGCUUGCUCCGCUGACGAGUGGCGAACGGGUGAGUAAUAUAUCGGAACGUACCAUUCAGUGGGGGAUAACGUAGCGAAAGUUACGCUAAUACCGCAUAUUCUGUGAGCAGGAAAGCAGGGGAUCGCAAGACCUUGCGCUGAUUGAGCGGCCGAUAUCAGAUUAGCUUGUUGGUGAGGUAAAAGCUCACCAAGGCGACGAUCUGUAGCGGGUCUGAGGGGAUGAUCCGCCACACUGGAACUGAGACACGGUCCAGACUCCUACGGGAGGCAGCAGUGGGGAAUUUUGGACAAUGGGGGCAACCCUGAUCCAGCCAUGCCGCGUGAGUGAAGAAGGCCUUCGGGUUGUAAAGCUCUUUCAGCCGGGAAGAAAACGCAUGGGUUAAUACCCUGUGUGGAUGACGGUACCGGAAUAAGAAGCACCGGCUAACUACGUGCCAGCAGCCGCGGUAAUACGUAGGGUGCGAGCGUUAAUCGGAAUUACUGGGCGUAAAGCGUGCGCAGGCGGUUUUGUAAGACAGGCGUGAAAUCCCCGGGCUUAACCUGGGAACUGCGUUUGUGACUGCAAGGCUAGAGUACGGCAGAGGGGGGUGGAAUUCCACGUGUAGCAGUGAAAUGCGUAGAGAUGUGGAGGAACACCAAUGGCGAAGGCAGCCCCCUGGGUCGAUACUGACGCUCAUGCACGAAAGCGUGGGUAGCAAACAGGAUUAGAUACCCUGGUAGUCCACGCCCUAAACGAUGUCAACUAGGUGUUGGGAGGGUAAAACCUUUUAGUACCGGAGCUAACGCGUGAAGUUGACCGCCUGGGGAGUACGGCCGCAAGGUUAAAACUCAAAGGAAUUGACGGGGACCCGCACAAGCGGUGGAUGAUGUGGAUUAAUUCGAUGCAACGCGAAAAACCUUACCUACCCUUGACAUGCCAAGAACUUUCCAGAGAUGGAUUGGUGCCCGAAAGGGAACUUGGACACAGGUGCUGCAUGGCUGUCGUCAGCUCGUGUCGUGAGAUGUUGGGUUAAGUCCCGCAACGAGCGCAACCCUUGUCGUUAAUUGCCAUCAUUUAGUUGGGCACUUUAACGAGACUGCCGGUGACAAACCGGAGGAAGGUGGGGAUGACGUCAAGUCCUCAUGGCCCUUAUGGGUAGGGCUUCACACGUCAUACAAUGGUCGGUACAAAGGGUCGCCAAGCCGCGAGGUGGAGCCAAGCCCAGAAAGCCGAUCGUAGUCCGGAUCGCAGUCUGCAACUCGACUGCGUGAAGUCGGAAUCGCUAGUAAUCGUGGA
RNAcentral lists this ribosomal RNA (1346 nucleotides) under metagenome. RNAcentral's name for it is "bacterial SSU rRNA". It matches the Rfam family "Bacterial small subunit ribosomal RNA", at positions 8 to 1348 of the family's 1533-position model. The record is from RNAcentral.